Molecule: ribosomal RNA, 406 nt
Filed under: uncultured bacterium
Lineage: Bacteria
Description: partial 16S ribosomal RNA
Rfam family: Bacterial small subunit ribosomal RNA
Source: RNAcentral
AUUGAACGCUGGCGGCAGGCCUAACACAUGCAAGUCGAACGAGUGGCGGACGGGUGAGUAACGUCUGGGAAACUGCUCGAUGGAGGGGGGUAACUACUGGAAACGGUAGCUAAUACCGCAUACCAUCGGAUGUGCCCUGAUGGGAUUAGCUAGUAGGUGGGGUAACGGCUUACCUAGGCAACGAUCCCUAGCUGGUCUGAGAGGGUGACCAGCCACACUGGAACUGAGACACGGUCCAGACUCCUACGGGAGGCAGCAGUGGGGAAUAUUGCACAAUGGGCGCAAGCCUGAUGCAGCCAUGCCGCGUGUAUGAAGAAGGCCUUCGGGUUGUAAAGUACUUUCAGCGAGGAGGCGUUACUCGCAGAAGAAGCACCGGCUAACUCCGUGCCAGCAGCCGCGGUAAUAC